UAUAAAACAACCUGGCAAAAUUUCAUGUUAAUUGGUUUGAUAUUCUUUAAACUAAAACGAUUUAAAGUAGGAUAAAUUGUCAGUAAUUGUGCGAAUUUCUUUCGCGCGGUCAAUCAAGGUAUCAUAUGGCCUGUGACGUAGGCGUAUGGACAUAUCACAAUGUUUUAUAUUUGCAAGUAUGGCGGAAUCACAAAAAGCUCCUGUGAAGCGAGGUGGAAGAUACUGUGUUUGUGGCGGUCCUGGUGGUGUUAGUUGCAAAAAUUCUACGCACACACCAGGAAUAAUUAUGCAUAAAUUUCCUUCGGAAAAAACAAGACCGGACGAACGAAGAUUGUGGACAAAAUUUGUGAGAAGACACCGCACAAAUUUCUCACCC
Paramuricea clavata is the source of this 376-nucleotide non-coding RNA. NCBI's taxonomy places the organism in Eukaryota, Metazoa, Cnidaria, Anthozoa, Malacalcyonacea, Plexauridae. The record is from the annotation of a GenBank genome assembly.